Molecule: ribosomal RNA, 442 nt
Filed under: uncultured fungus
Lineage: Eukaryota; Fungi
Description: eukaryotic LSU rRNA
Rfam family: 5.8S ribosomal RNA (bases 126-277)
Source: RNAcentral
CAUUACUGAAUGGCCUUUUGGCCUUCAACCUUCAAAAACAUGUGGAAGCAAGACGUGCUUCGGUGCCUCUGGUGCCGCCUUUAUGCAGUGAAGCUUUUUUGUCUGAACCAAAAACUAAAAUUUAAAACUUUCAACAAAGGAUCUCUUGGCUCUCACAUCGAUGAAGAACGCAGCGAAGCGCGAAAUGUAGUGUGAAUCGCAGAACUUUGUGAAUCAUCGAAUCUUUGAACGCACAUUGCGCCUCCCAUCAUCGGGAGGCAUGCCUGUCUGAGCGUCAUUUAAACCAUAGUUCCCAUCUGGGACUGUACUGGGCGUCGCCGAUUGGCGUAGCCUUAAAGACAUUGGUCUACCAAGCGGACGAGAUCCUUUAGGACGGACCGUUUUGUCGACCUUAAACCUCUGACUUGACCUCAGAUCAGGUAGGGCUACCGCCUGAACUUAA